RNAcentral lists this long non-coding RNA (635 nucleotides) under Physcomitrium patens. RNAcentral's name for it is "long non-coding RNA (PPAT_LNC012025)". The record is from RNAcentral. Lineage: Eukaryota; Viridiplantae; Streptophyta; Bryopsida; Funariales; Funariaceae.
CCAACAGUGAUUUUUCCUUCUCUAAUCAUUAACUUCGGCUCAAAAUUGGUAUGCACCUUGAUCUUCAAGUCCUUCAAGACCAUGCCAAAUUUUACCUUGAUCCAACUAAUAGAUCUCUAAAUGUCAUAGAAACCUUAUUCAACCUCAAACUACCAACUUCCGAUAUGUUCUUGUAAUAAAACCUAGAUAUCUCUCAAUUGCACUAUAAGAUUAUCACAAUAUUUUACAUACACUUAAAACACCUAAUUAUCUAAGUACUAUCAAUAUUUGAAUUGUAGAUGUAAUAUCAAUAUUAUGAACUAGCCAAGAGUACUAGUCCUAAUUUCAUUGCAUAAAUCCCAAGUUGCCAAUAUAAACCUUGACUUCCAACAAUAAUUGCUAACUCUCUCGAAAUCAUACCAAAAUCAACCUUAUAUAUCUAAAAUAAGCUUUAACUAGCUCUCAAAACUUCAUCUUUGAUGUCCAAAUGAAUCCCUAAUUUUUCCUAAGCAAUCAUUUUAAAGGCCAAAGGUCUAUUUUGAUUCUAUCUCACAAAUGGUCAACCCUUAAGUAUCAAUCUAAUCUAUCUUAAGAAUUUUUUAGCCCAAUUCUAUCUUUAACUUAAUUCUAAUAUCAACUAUAUUAAUUAUUUAUCU